AUUGAACGCUGGCGGCAGGCCUAACACAUGCAAGUCGAACGGUAACAGGAAGAAGCUUGCUUCUUUGCUGACGAGUGGCGGACGGGUGAGUAAUGUCUGGGAAACUGCCUGAUGGAGGGGGAUAACUACUGGAAACGGUAGCUAAUACCGCAUAACGUCGCAAGACCAAAGAGGGGGACCUUCGGGCCUCUUGCCAUCGGAUGUGCCCAGAUGGGAUUAGCUAGUAGGUGGGGUAACGGCUCACCUAGGCGACGAUCCCUAGCUGGUCUGAGAGGAUGACCAGCCACACUGGAACUGAGACACGGUCCAGACUCCUACGGGAGGCAGCAGUGGGGAAUAUUGCACAAUGGGCGCAAGCCUGAUGCAGCCAUGCCGCGUGUAUGAAGAGGGCCUUCGGGUUGUAAAGUACUUUCAGCGGGGAGGAAGGGAGUAAAGUUAAUACCUUUACUCAUUGACGUUACCCGCAGAAGAAGCACCGGCUAACUCCGUG
This 490-nucleotide ribosomal RNA is filed under the name uncultured bacterium. RNAcentral's name for it is "partial 16S ribosomal RNA". It matches the Rfam family "Bacterial small subunit ribosomal RNA", at positions 30 to 507 of the family's 1533-position model. The record is from RNAcentral.